RNAcentral lists this ribosomal RNA (396 nucleotides) under Pterocystidae sp. RNAcentral's name for it is "partial small subunit ribosomal RNA". It matches the Rfam family "Eukaryotic small subunit ribosomal RNA", at positions 582 to 975 of the family's 1831-position model. The record is from RNAcentral. Lineage: Eukaryota; Centroplasthelida; Pterocystida; Pterocystidae.
AUUCCAGCUCCAAUAGCGUAUAUUAAAGUUGUUGCAGUUAAAAAGCUCGUAGUCGGAACUUUGGCCGGCGGUGAGCGUCCAAGGGCCUUCGGCCUUUGCGCAUGCGAUCCGCUAGCCAUGUACUUCGGAGGAACGCGUGUGCUUUUCACUAAGUGCGCGUGGGAUUCCGAUAGUUUACUUUGAGAAAAAUAGAGUGUUCAAAGCAGGCGUUUUGCCUUGAAUACAUUAGCAUGGGAUAAUGAAAUAGGACAUUGGUUCUAUUUUGAUGGUUUACGGACCGAUGUAAUGAUUAAUAGGGACAGUCGGGGGCAUUCGUAUUCAAACGACAGAGGUGAAAUUCUCAGACCAGCGGAAGACGAACCACUGCGAAAGCAUUUGCCAGGGAUGUUUUCAUCA